This 570-nucleotide ribosomal RNA is filed under the name Triticum aestivum (bread wheat). Its description in RNAcentral is "partial small subunit ribosomal RNA". The record is from RNAcentral. Lineage: Eukaryota; Viridiplantae; Streptophyta; Magnoliopsida; Poales; Poaceae.
AUGGACAGUGAUGAUCAGAACUCAGGGGUGACGAUGGAAUGCAUGACCGGCGGCGACAACGGCACAACUGAACGAUUUUAUGGAAGGGUCGAGGAGAUCUGGGAGCUUCACUACUCUGGACUGCACAACACGACGAUGUUUCGUGUCAGAUGGGCUAAGAAUGUCGAAAGAGAAAGCCGGAUGUUCACUACCAUGACUAUACCCGACGCCAAGAGCGCUACCGUGAACGCUAUCGCAAAAAAUGAGCCAUGGGUACACGCUAAGCACGUGACACAAUGCUUCUUCAUAACUGACCCGCGCAAUCCCAGCCGUGUUGUCUUGAGGAGAGGCAAAAGGAACAUCAUUGGAAUGGAUGGAGUCGCCAACGAGGAAGACUAUGAUCAGUACGGCAACCCAAUGAGGGAAGAUGACGAUGAUGAUGAAGUAUACGUCAAAAGAAGAAUCAAUACUACAUUACCUAAGAAAAAUUGUACUCCAUGGAAAAGGCAAAGUCACAAUGAGGGGCUCAAUUAUUCUUCGACGAACAAGAAGGGAAAGAAGCUGACUCAAAAACGAAAACGUCAGCACUGA